This 1090-nucleotide long non-coding RNA is filed under the name Vulpes vulpes (red fox). RNAcentral's name for it is "lncRNA (ENSVVUG00000026491.1)". Lineage: Eukaryota; Metazoa; Chordata; Mammalia; Carnivora; Canidae. The record is from RNAcentral.
CGGGAAGUUCAGAGUCUCCCCCUGUUGUCAUGGUCUGACCCCUAGACCUGGCCUCUAAUGGACCUGUGGCUUUUCACAGCAAUUGACAUUUUCCAAGGACCCAAUCCUUACCCUCUCAAGGCCAACUCAAGAGUAAUUUCCUUCUCUGUUCUGAAAGUCCUCAUCCCCAACGCACUCACUGAUGCUCUGGUUUCUGGCUUAUUUGUCAAACGGGAUGGCAAACAAAGCUGAUGGGGCUACCCAGCACCUAAUGACUCAGAUAUCUGAUCCUCCUCAUCCUCCGGGGCAGCUCCUUGGGGAGAGGGCUCCCAGAAUUAACUGCAAGCAUGGCAGUUUGGCCAGAUGAAAGCACACAAACACUCCUCUGAGACAAAAGCUGAUGAUACCAACACUGUGGUUGGGGGUAUGUGUUGGGGGUUUGGAGGAGGUGCCCUGGAACCCUGAAAUGGGAAACCAUGGAGGCCUUGGCAGCGGUGAGUAUGGCUGGGGUCUCAGCUGGGCUGAGACUGGAACUUAUGGAGGCAAAUGGAGGACAAGAAGUGGGUCCCCAAUAUUAAGCCAGGUCCAAGACAUGAAAAUCAAGUCCCUAGAGGUCUAAGUCUUCUCUGCCCAUCAAAGAGGUUGAGAUCACUGACUUUUUUUCUCAGGAUACCCUUCAAUAAAGAUGAAGUAAUAAAGAUCAUGUGCACAGCAAAAGUGGACCUAGGCUGGCCAGCAGACCGGGCUCAAGGAAGCCACCCAGCAGGGGGCCACAUCCCAGUCUAGACCUCUUGUCUUCUCAUUUGGAGUCCAGAGCAAAUUUCUCCAGUUCCUUCCAGUUAACAAUACACCUGCUGGUCUAGAAUGCUCAAGAAUCCAGAAGAACAUGCUAAAUGAACCUACUAAUUCCCUUUGAAAUUCUUGAAUUUUAAAUGUACAUUUGUUUGCACACCAUAUAAACGCUGAUAUUUGCCUGGUAGCCUCUCCUCUAUGCACAUUAUCCUUUCCAUCCAGAUAAUGAAAGCUGCUCAAAUUAACAAGUCACAGAAACACAGAUGUACUAUUUUUUUUGUGCACAAUUAUGAAAUUUAGAGGUUUAUGCCAUUAGUCU